RNAcentral lists this ribosomal RNA (209 nucleotides) under uncultured bacterium. RNAcentral's name for it is "partial 16S ribosomal RNA". It matches the Rfam family "Bacterial small subunit ribosomal RNA", at positions 568 to 775 of the family's 1533-position model. The record is from RNAcentral.
CGCGUAGGCGGCCUUCUAAGUCGAACGUGAAAUCCCUGGGCUCAACCCCAGGAACUGCGUCCGAUACUGGAAGGCUUGAAUCCGGGAGAGGGAUGCGGAAUUCCAGGUGUAGCGGUGAAAUGCGUAGAUAUCUGGAGGAACACCGGUGGCGAAGGCGGCAUCCUGGACCGGUAUUGACGCUGAGGCGCGAAAGCCAGGGGAGCAAACGG